Molecule: long non-coding RNA, 2161 nt
Organism: Herpailurus yagouaroundi (jaguarundi)
Lineage: Eukaryota; Metazoa; Chordata; Mammalia; Carnivora; Felidae
Exons: 3
Source: RefSeq, a predicted model, not a curated record
CUAACCCACAAACUGUGAGAUCAUGACCUGAGCCGAAGUUGGACACUUGGCCGACUAACCCACCCAGGUGCCCGGAUAUUCAUUUAGGUUUUAAUUUCUCACUCAAGAGCUUCAAAGAGAUGGCAAGGCGACUUUUACUUCCUUCACUGUUAUGGACAGCUUUUUCUAGUCUUUUCACAGAUGCGCUGAUUCACUGGAGAGCUCAGAUUUAUGCAUCCACAUACCUUGGAUGUUAAAGCCACGGCCUCCACCCCUGCUGCCUAGGUCCCCUGAGGCUGCCGCACCUCAGCAGGAAAAGUGCCCCUCCAGAACUUUGCACAUGAUCACAUUUGUCUCGGGAUCCAGUGUAUCAUCAUCUCAUCGUCUAAGCCGACACCCCCACUCCUCAUCCAAACCCUUCUACGUUUUUGCUUCCUCUUCUCAAAAACACCAGUGCCGUCCCUUCGAAACUACUGCGUGCUGUUGACUUUCCUCUCCCUUUGGAGUUUGCGAGGACACAAAAGUGAGUCUUCUCACCGUGUUUCCGUCCAUGUUUUGUAUGCCCAGAACAGGGUCAGUCUGGGUGAGGAAGAAACAUUAGAUUCCUUUCACGAUGUAAAUACAAAGACUGCCUUCUCACCAAACAUCUCUGAAUAAGUCACCUCGGUAAACCAGACCCGUGUUGCAAAAGGAGGGCAGACGCACAUUUCUCAAUCCCAAUUACAGCCUGUUCCAGUCAUUUUGCAGUUACUCAUUUCCUGCCUUGUGGCCUUCUACUAGUUCACUGAACUGUAGUUCAAAUACUUUCUUAUUUCGUUUUUAAUUUACUCAAGUAUAUUGUAAUCUCCUUGGGGGAGAUCAGGGACCGUGUUUCAUGAUUUUGAUAUUUUUCAUGGCCUGCAGCACCCAGCAAGCACUGAAUCCCUAUUUUCUGUUUCUAUUUCUUUCCCUGCAUCCCGGGGCUUAAAUUAGGCAGCACUGCAAACAUGUUCAGAUCUGCCGGGUGAGUUUUUCUGCCAUAUAAAUAGAGGAAACACAGAUCAAAAGGGAACUUGCCGUGGGCUUGGGAGUAAGAGGCUGAGAAGUACGCAUGUCCUCAGCUGGGGUGAAGCGGCGAGGGUCAUUUUUCGAAGGAACAGCUCUAAGAUGCUCCUUCCGCCGUCCGUUUCUUCCAUUACAAACAGGCCGCGAUCUUUGUCAAUGUGGUCUUGUGAGCUGGAGCUGGCACUAUGCCAGGAUUUUCCAAAAUUAACCCACGCAACCCUCAUGUCAACCCAAUGUGUUUGGAGCCAUCACCACACCCAUUUUACAGACGCACAGAAAGGAAUCUGCGCACUCUCUCUAGCGCCUACAAGCAGCACGUGACAGCAUCUCCUAGGAGUUGUGCUGGAAUUCAUUGAGGUCACGUGCACACCCAUUGCUCAGGAAUCGUUGGAGAUCCUGUUAGUUCCUGCAUGAAGCCAGGGCAGCUGGGGGUGUUGGUGGAUCUCAUUCCCCCCCGCCCUCUGCCUUGCCAAUUCGUGGAGUCUGUGAUCCCCUGAGGGCACGUCCAGAGAGAAGGCUUCGCCCUCCAAGAGGAAUCUGUUAUGUCCAAAGUAAGAGAAAUCAGUUCCUUAUCUGUCCUCAGACUCCUCUGCACUUCCAGAGGGACUGAAGUAGCUUUUCAGAUUAGAUUUCAUUCUGCUCCAUAAGACUGUCUGAGAGCUGAGGGGAUUGCUUCGGGAAGAGAUUUUAUAGCAUGUGGUGUGCCUAGCCUUCUGACUUCCUGAGCAUUUCUCCCCCGAGGUCGCUUGUAAAAAGUUCAUUUUGGACCUGUACCCUUUAGGCUUUGUCCGGGGCCUGAAAAUAUGCUGCAGUACAUCUUGUGAUACCAGCCCACACACAGACCCUCGCUGGCACAUAUCCACAUACUGCUUUUUCUUGGUGUCGGGCCAAAGCACCUGCCCCUAGGCAAUGACGUUAUGGAAGGAUGUAGCGUGUGGUUUGAGGAAGCGGAGUGUGAUGCCCUCUUUCAUUUCUAGUCAAGGAAGCUGAUGCUCUUUGGUUCUCCGAAGGCUUCAUUUGGUCUUGCCUUGCUCCCUCAUUCAUUUGCUUGCUCAUUCAUUCACUGAGAAAAGAACAUUUUUAAAGCAUUUAGAUGGGGUGCCUGGGUGGCUCGGUUGGUUAAGCGUCUGACUUCGGC